Molecule: ribosomal RNA, 262 nt
Filed under: uncultured bacterium
Lineage: Bacteria
Description: partial 16S ribosomal RNA
Rfam family: Bacterial small subunit ribosomal RNA
Source: RNAcentral
CGGCGGACGGGUGGAGUAACGCGUGGGUAACCGUGCCUCAUACAGGGGGAGUAACAGUUGGAAACGGCUGCUAAUACCGCAUAAGCGCACAGUACCGCAUGGUACCGUGUGAAAAACUCCGGUGGUAUGAGAUGGACCCGCGUCUGAUUAGCUAGUUGGUGGGGUAACGGCCUACCAAGGCGACGAUCAGUAGCCGACCUGAGAGGGUGAACGGCCACAUUGGGACUGAGACACGGCCCAAACUCCUACGGGAGGCAGCAUG